AAAUAGAUGCAUGCUUCUGUGAAGGAUGAAAUGUUGGGCAAAAAAACAGCAAUCUCUCCAACUUGUAGAAGGCUUCUCCAUAUCCGUAUUUUUAAUUCUUCUGAUGCCAGAGCCUGACCUGUGUUUGGGCAUGCCAUCAUGUUGGAGGUACUACGUGAUACAGAAAUCAUACACAGCCUGCUGUUAGUCUAGGAAAGAUCCUUGGGACAACUUUCCACACCAGCCAGCUGCGCUUUUUAGCCAACCAUCUCUCCCACCAUUUUGACUCUCCA
Molecule: long non-coding RNA, 272 nt
Filed under: Phasianus colchicus (ring-necked pheasant)
Lineage: Eukaryota; Metazoa; Chordata; Aves; Galliformes; Phasianidae
Description: lncRNA (ENSPCLG00000011978.1)
Source: RNAcentral